Non-coding RNA from Cinara cedri, 305 nucleotides. The record is from the annotation of a GenBank genome assembly. Lineage: Eukaryota; Metazoa; Arthropoda; Insecta; Hemiptera; Aphididae.
UAUCACUCGAGCACAGAAAUUUUUAAAUCGGAAGCCGUAGAGUUUAUUUACCGUAUCAAACAUCAAGCAAUAAACAUUCAUUCUCAACAGUUUUCAUUUUCCGAAUUUUCAUUAUUUCAAUAUCGUCGGAAAUAUUUUUCGGUCAGGUUGGAUAUUAUACAGAUCGGUCGAGAUCGGUACAAAACAUUGAUAAAUUGUAUCGUUUACGUCGGUACUUUUAAACAAUUUGUAUUUGACACGGUUAUUUAAAAUUUCUUCGUUUGUAAUUUUCGAUGGUCUUUCUAAUAAUUCCCCUUCAAACGGUC